Molecule: ribosomal RNA, 460 nt
Filed under: uncultured bacterium
Lineage: Bacteria
Description: partial 16S ribosomal RNA
Rfam family: Bacterial small subunit ribosomal RNA
Source: RNAcentral
CCUACGGGAGGCAGCAGUGAGGAAUAUUGGUCAAUGGCCGGAAGGCUGAACCAGCCAUGCCGCGUGAAGGUCAGUGCCCUAUGGGCGUUAAACUUCUUUUGUGCGGGAGCAAUAAUGGUCACGUGUGGCCAGACGAGAGUACCGUACGAAUAAGCAUCGGCUAACUCCGUGCCCGCAGCCGCGGUAAUACGGGGGAUGCAAGCGUUAUCCGGAUUUAUUGGGUUUAAAGGGUGCGUAGGCUGUGAGGUAAGUCAGCGGGGAAAUGCCCCCGCUCAACGGGGUGAAGUGCCAUUGAUACUGGCUUGCUGGAAUGCGGAUGCCGUGGGAGGAAUGUGUGGUGUAGCGGUGAAAUGCAUAGAUAUCACACAGAACACCGAUUGCGAAGGCGGUCUGCUGGACAGCAACUGACGGUGAGGCUCGAAAGCGUGGGGAGCAAACAGGAUUAGAUACCCGUGUAGUC